This 352-nucleotide long non-coding RNA is filed under the name Panax ginseng (ginseng). RNAcentral describes it as "long non-coding RNA (PGIN_LNC008671)". The record is from RNAcentral. Lineage: Eukaryota; Viridiplantae; Streptophyta; Magnoliopsida; Apiales; Araliaceae.
GGGCGCUAGGUUUUAAAAUACCCCUUCGGGCGUACUUACUCAAGUAACAAAGGCCCCAAAACAAAACUAGCCACGGUAAUUUUUAUUUUUUUUUCUUUCUUUUUCUCUUUCUUUUUUUUUGUUUUGUUUUGUUUUUUUUAGCGAAGCUUAUAUAUCCCAAAUUUUCCCGCCAAACUUAAGUUUUUAUCUAAAUUUAGCCAUCUCCGCCUAUUCAUGUCUUUCAUUCCUUCAAACUAGUAUUAUCCUUAAAAAAUCCAUUAUGUAUCAAUUUAAACUUAAUCAGUUAACAUAGCUGUUAUUAACGUGCUAACCUUGAUUAUACCAGUUUCAAACAGGAAAAGAUUCAAUUNNN